GUUUUACCAUCGCACAUCACCAUAAGAAGAUGGGUAACCUGGCAUACAUAGGCUAGCACCAGCAAGAGGAGAUUCUUCUGAAAGAAGACUGGCAGUAUCUAGCAGGACACUGGAAAGUCCAGAAAGACAAUGGAAGACAGAAUUUUGGUUAGUGACAUCUGGCUGUCCAUUUAACCUGAAGGAAACAUGACUUGAAGGAACGAACGAUAGCAAUUCCCGAUUAGUGAUAUGAGGACAACAAAAUGGCCAGGAUUGGGUAACAAGAAAAAAGUGGUUCCCAGAGUUGGCUGGUAUUGUUGAUCUCAAUCAACAGGAAGCAAAGAGUCUGGAGGAAGAAGGGAAGAAUAGUGGGAAGGAAUGAAUAUGAAUGACUCUUCCUUAUGUGACCAGCAAAUUCAGCAGUAAAACCUAAUGAAAGAGAACGAGCUAAGUAGAACCACGAAAAGCUCAAAGGUUGUGAGUCUCCUCUGCUGUGAAUUAUCAACAUUUGGUAAGGACUCUCCAUGACAAACCCACUCUAUAAUCAUGUGUGACAGAAAUUAAAAUAAAGACACUCUGCAACCACAAAAAUGACCAAGUUUCCCCUGAUCCAGCUAACCUGAACAACUAUCAUUUCUUCUCCCAAAACGAUUCUAUCCAUGCUUUGUUCAUCCUGCCUUUGCA
Molecule: long non-coding RNA, 663 nt
Organism: Zalophus californianus (California sea lion)
Lineage: Eukaryota; Metazoa; Chordata; Mammalia; Carnivora; Otariidae
Exons: 3
Source: RefSeq, a predicted model, not a curated record